GUCUACUGACUAGUUAAGAUCCAGUUUCUUUCCCUUCCCUCUCUCCCAGCUAUUAAAAGAAUGCAAGCUCCUUGAUGGCACGAAAUGUUGUGAACCUUUCUUUGGAAUUUCUUAGUGCUUAGCUCAAUAACUAGUACUUAAGUAUUUUCUAAAUGCCUUUACUUUUCUGAGAAUUAGUUUUGUCAGUAGAAACAACUUCAUAACUUGAAGAACUUUACCAUUAGCACUCCUAGAACUUGGUAGAAUGAGCAAGAAGUGACAUUAAUAUUGCCUUGAAAUUAAUAUUUCCUUAAAGGAGUUUGGAAGACUAUAACAAGCAUGAC
Molecule: long non-coding RNA, 323 nt
Filed under: Monodelphis domestica (gray short-tailed opossum)
Lineage: Eukaryota; Metazoa; Chordata; Mammalia; Didelphimorphia; Didelphidae
Description: lncRNA (ENSMODG00000041131.1)
Source: RNAcentral